This 261-nucleotide ribosomal RNA is filed under the name uncultured archaeon. RNAcentral's name for it is "partial 16S ribosomal RNA". It matches the Rfam family "Archaeal small subunit ribosomal RNA", at positions 748 to 1008 of the family's 1478-position model. The record is from RNAcentral.
CAGCCGUAAACAAUGUGCGUUAGGUGUGUCGGUAACCACGCGUUACUGAUGCGCCGAAGAGAAAUCGUGAAACGCACCACCUGGGAAGUACGGUCGCAAGGCUGAAACUUAAAGGAAUUGGCGGGGGAGCACCACAACAGGUGGAGCCUGCGGUUUAAUUGGAUUCAACGCCGGACAUCUCACCGGAUAAGACGGCUGAAUGAUUGUCAAUCUGAAGGUUUUACAUGACUAGCUGAGAGGAGGUGCAUGGCGUCAGUGACU